Molecule: long non-coding RNA, 319 nt
Filed under: Zonotrichia albicollis (white-throated sparrow)
Lineage: Eukaryota; Metazoa; Chordata; Aves; Passeriformes; Passerellidae
Description: lncRNA (ENSZALG00000005321.1)
Source: RNAcentral
CCCGCCCGCCGUGCCAGAGCUCCCGCUCCGCCGGCCGGAGCCGCCGCCAGCGCGGGGUCCCGCUGAGGGUCCCGCUGCCGCCCGGGCCCGGUGGAUGCCGCCCGCUGCUGUUCCGGCUCCCUGCUCCGGCUGCCUCUUUCGGCUCCUCUGUGCUUUUCCCGCUGCAAAUCGUCCGGGUGCUUCACCGCCGCGCGGUACUGGCGGGGACCCCCCGACGCCUUCCCGCAGCCGGCUCCAUCCCGAGCACCGGGAAGCGCACGGGAGGUCCCGGCCGGACGAGGAUGCGGCACCUCGGGUCCAGCCCCUCCUGCGGAGCACC